Molecule: long non-coding RNA, 8943 nt
Organism: Ooceraea biroi (clonal raider ant)
Lineage: Eukaryota; Metazoa; Arthropoda; Insecta; Hymenoptera; Formicidae
Source: RefSeq, a predicted model, not a curated record
UAGUUGCGAAAAAUGUAUGUGUGUGUGAAAGAGAGCGAGAGAGAAAGAUAAAGAGAGGAAGAGAGAGAGAGAAAGGUAAUAGAGCAUGUGCGUGCGUGUGAGAGAAGGGUAAAAAAAUGGGGCGAAGUAGAGAUAAUUAGGAAAGAGUGGGUUGGAUCGUUCGACUGUCCGAUACGUAACAAUGAACUGUGCGUGUGUGGAAAGCUCGAAGUGCGGAAAAUUGGGGAGGGAGGGAAAAGGUAGAAAAAGAUGCGAUAUUAACGCGUACGAAUGUCUCGCGCUCUCGUUCUUCCCCUGUUCUUCGCCACGCUUCAUCUUUCUCGCGUGAGGAAUCAAAUGAGACGUGACGGGAGAUCGAAGUGCGCUUUUGCCUCGUUUCUCUUCGAUCACUCACGAUGAGAUUCGCGUAGCGUGAAGAUCGAGAACGAAAGCCUCGAAAGUAGAAAGUCCAGUCUCCGAUUACCCUCUCGGCGAGGCGUAUAAGAGACAGCAUAUUGUGGUUUUUUUCUAAGACAUUACUUUAUUUAUUCAGCUACCGCCGAUUUAUCCGCUCACGCGCGCGAAUCCUCACUUGAUGAUGGAUGCGGGAUUUCGGCGGGGCGCCAGGAUCUCGAAUAUUAGUGCAAAUUCAUCGCGUCGACGAGUGUGAACGUCGCCGCGUUAAGCGCAAAGCUCGCUGGCCGAUCCGAGGGUGCUCGGACGACGAUUCGUUCAGUCGCCGUUACUUCAGAUUAGCGUAAAUACGCGAAAGUCGUGAUAUGAGAUUAUUGUAACUGUCGAUUAAUCGCGUUGAUGGAGAAUUACGCGCACUAAGUGCGCUCUGGCACAUGUGAUGUCACUCGAAAAAUGGAUAAUACGUUCAAACGCGAGACGAAUCGCGUCCUGGCUGCAUUCCUCUCGGUACCAGCGAAACGCCCGUUUUUCCGGGCGCAUCUUUUCACACACAUAUACACUCAUACAUACACACACGCAUACAUCCGUACACCAUGUGCGAUCACACUUGCCAUUUAUAACAAUAAUUCUUUUCCCACUCGCUAUUAUUGCCGUAUUAAUAUGAUUAUACUUAUUCUGGUUACUAUUAUUAUUGCCAUUGUCUCACAUCGUCAUUAUUAUUAUUAAUUAUUAUAUCAUUAUUAUUAUUAUUAUUAUUAUUAUUAUCACUUAUGAUCGUGUAUAUUUUCUGUGUCUCUUGUCUAGUAGCUACGUGUAAUCUCUAACGCCUCAUUACUUACUCUCGUAAUACUAUCAGAGCAGGAUGUGCAGGGAGGAAGUACUUUACUCACUUCACUUGCUCUCACUUAACAUUGCUCUAUUACCACUAUCACUACUACUACUACUACUACUAUUACUACUUUCUCCGCCACCCGCUCUAUAACUAUUACGUUUGCUACUAGUGCUAUUGCUGUUACCACCAAAUCACCACCAAAUGCUAUUACUACUACCACUUACUACUACUUACUAUUACUACUUACCGACUAUUUAUUUAUUAAUUUAAUUUAUUAUUAAAUAACAUAACUAUUAUGUUUUAUUUAAGGAUUAAACUGAUUUGUGUUUGGUUCAAAACGUCGUUCGUUUUAUUUCUUAUUAGAAUGUUUCAGUUGCCACAUCCAUCACUGGUCGUCCCGUCCCUCCCUACAACUCUCCCCCGUUCACCAUGACAUUCCACGAGUCUCUUCCUGACAUUCCGCGAGUCACAGACUGAUGUAAUAGCGAUGAUGUAACGUUACCGGCGAGGCCCGCUCAACCUCGAUGCACGAGACACGCUCAUGGAUCCUGGUUCGUAGCGUCUUCGUUAUCGAUAUAGUUAUCGGCGUAAUUGCGAGCACCGCCACACGAUGCGAACGGAAUCAAUGCGAAUCGGAAGCUUGUGCAUCGCCAAGAUGAUGACUUGAAAGUGACGUUUCAAAGUACAAUUCAUCCCCCAUGCACUGUUGGCGGCGUUCGCGAUGAAGCGUGAGCAAUGCUUUAGAGAUUAUGGUAUGCGUGAUUCGAGUUUUAAGCGUUGUAGCCUUUAAUACUCUACUUAACGGCUCCCGGAACAUGUGCAUGUGUUCCGAAGAGAGUACGUUGCGGUCGCGAGACCGCAAUUAUGGUGUCUGCAUCUAUGCGGAGAAAUGACACCGGCCAGCGUGCGAGCGAUCUGGUCGCGCGCGCGAGCGCGAGAGAGGCGCUGUGAAAAUAAAUAUAAUUUCGUUACACUGAUGGGGUAUACGCGAUGUCGAUCCCUUGCGAGGACUGGUGAUCCCUCGGGAGACCAACGCCACGAAACGUCGCAGCGGCAGGGAUCAGGUCACGAUCAUCGAAUUGUUCCUGCCGUUCCGGGGAGCGCCGGAUCCAAGAUUGUCCACGAGCAUUCGCGAAUUCCCAUCUUCUCAGUCAUUUUACGGGCGAAUAAAAUGAACGUAGAAAAAGGAAGAAGCAGGUACGAAGGUACAAGUACGUGAUUCACGUCGAGGAGAGCACGAAAGAUCGAUUAAAGAGUGGUGCGAGCCCUAGCCCUUAAGGGGUGCCGACUCGCUCGCAACGAUUCGUCCACCGAAUUAAAUGUUUGAAGGGAAAGAGAAAAGAGAGAGAGAGAGAGAAAGAGUGAAAGUGAGAGAGAAACGAGUUCGAGGGAGAGGAAGUGCGAGAGCGUGAGAAAGAGAGGGAGAGAAAGGGCAGACAGGAAGAAUGAGCACGCUAAUCUACUUAACUAUAAUAUUACAUACGAUUAUUACGUUAGAUAUACAUUAUGUGUAUUGUAUUUAUGUCUCAAUAAUCGUUGUUAGUUAUAUCGCUAUGAUGAUGACGAUAAUGAGUACGAUAAUUACCGAUGACUUCAUAGAGGGGCAGGGGAAGUGCACGCGGAACCGGGCACGCAACACACACAUGCAGACUCACGUAUCUUGCUACACGCGCGCGCGCGUACGAGCUGAUCCCGUGCGAUCGCGAGGAACUCGUUGCAUUCCGGAGAUCUCGUUUAUUCCGUUCACUCAUGUAACAAAUGUAUUUAUUUAAGGACGAAUUCGGCUCUAGAUGCGACUGUACAUUAUCUCGAUUUCUCAAAGUCAACCUGAUCUGCAACUGAAGAGACGUUGAUGCUCCAUGUCGGGCGAACGUGAGACGACAAAGAAUAUAUCCAACACAUUGCGCGCAUUUGAUAAUACAGUUUGCCCGAAUUUCUGAUGCACCUUGCCGAUCGCACGGACGCGCUCGUAGGAAGCGGACCUUCCCGACGACAGGAUUUUUAAGGACAUCCUGCAAAGAUCUCGAACGAGACGAGAGCCUCGAAGUAGAUCGGUACAUUCGCGGUUUCUAACUGAUUUCUGCGAUGGACGAACGAUAUUACAUUUAUUAAACGAUUUACAUUUAACCAUUAGUCGCAUUAUCGAUAUUAUUGUACUACUAACUAGCGCUCGUACCCUCUUAUACUCGUAAAAAAAAAGAAGAUGAUGACGAAGAGAGGAAAGGAAGGAAGGGCAGAGAUUGCGAGGAACGGAAACGCGUGCUGGAAAACCGAACGCGACUUAGUUUGUCGGAUGAUGAUGAUAAUGAUUGGUGCACGAUGAUGGGAAUUGAAUAUUGUUGCGGGAACGGCGGAAGUAGCGUAACGUAACGCGAGAUUAACGUUGCGUUGGGGCUUCCUCGCGAUACCGUAUUCGUGCGGCAUGACAAGACGCUAAAACGCGGACACGUAACGCUGAAAUCCAAGCGGACGAUUCUCCACGUGGAUUCGCGGGAUUUGGGAGAUUUUGGGGUGACUUCGAGACACGGUAUCGCGGGGACUGCCCAUUGUUCGUUCGCGUCGGCGAAGAAGCCGGAUUUGCCGUCGUCGACGAAGAUCCCCGAGGAUCGAGGCGCGUGAUUGCGAGGGGUGGAUCCUCGGGGUGCAUCUCAACGGCGGGAAUCCUUCUGGUAGCGCGGAAUUGUUCGCGGAGACAGAGGGGAGGAAGGGAGAGAGAGGGUGGAAAACGGUAUUCUCGGUAGGGUAACGCGAGGGAUGAGAGGGACUUGACCGGAUGGAGAGCAAGUCGACUGGAAAAUGACGUGCAGUGAGUUGAAAUGAACGAUGUAGCGUAUCGAGCCAAGAUACCGUAAGACUCAAAAAACUUGAACGUGUUCGUGGAGACUUAAACUUUUAUACGCUCGUCCUGGAAGGUUGGACAUUCCGUUAAUUUCGUCAUGUUCUUUCUCAUACAUGAAAUACGGUUCUACGAUAGACAUUCUGCGAUAUGUAGAUCUUUUCCUAUUGACUCUGUCUAGGUGAUCCUGGAAAUAUUAGCAAUGUCGAUCUUGAAACGGUGAUCGGUCCUUUUAAUAAAUUCUCUUGAAAUUCGUCGUCCUUUCCGCCGUGGCGGAAACGACUGACCGAGUUGCUGAUAUUUCUCGAGGUGUGAAUUUUGAGAUUAAUCGAAUUAUUAAGGGCGGCGCGCGAGCGCGCGAUGUUUAUUCGUCUCACACUUGUGCAAUAUGGAGUCCCAUCGAUCGGACGAGGCGCGGCUCCGGGAAAAUCCAAAAGUGGUGCUGUAGUCAAAAAAAUCCUUAUCUUUCCUUGCCGGUGCCUCGCCGAAAAGGUGGGCCGAUCGAACGAACGAAAUUUGAAACAGUGAAAGAAAGAAAGUGAGGGAGAGAGAGAGAGAGAAAGAGAGAACUAGUUACGUAAUAAGUGCAUUCACGACAGCCAUCGACAUUGACUAUGAAAAUCAUCCGUUCGGAGCUGGAAAUGAUAUCUCGAUUGACAACGAACGUUUCUUUGCAAUUAUGAUUAUCAGUCGGAGGGAUUCCAGCGUGUAUGGGAUCGUUUUGUCGAACGGUUCCGCUGAAAAUCCCGGGCCGGCGCGAUUCCCGACUCGAGUCCUGGACCGAUCCGCGGACUCGCGAGUGCGCCGGAAGUUUGCCCGUAGAUUUUCAGCGAAACUGUUCCCCGGGUGUUGCUGAGUCGCUGUAUGCUAAAACACGCACAACCGUCGCCCGUGUCGUGACGGCCACUUGUUUGUUAGUUGUAAAACACGCGAGAUUGUCCAUGAAUCCAUUGUCAUUAAUCGCAUGGCCAUCCAUCACGAUCGUGGCAUUCGUCCUUAGGAUCAUCGUUUCAGUUUCGCUUAAAGAUCCAUUCGUCGACUCGUUGACACGUUAAUUAUUCUCGUCGCGCUCAUUAUGUAUUGUCAUCGCAAUGCCACGAUUUCAUCGAAUCGUUCACUAUUACACGUACAUACACACGUACAUACACACACACAGACAUACAUACACUCGUACAAAAAUUCGCGCGAUCAUUCGUAAUCAUUAUUCCAUUUCAUGCAUUAAAUGCGGCAUAAUAAAUUUAUUACAAGACUCACAGUCAUAUUUUGAUUCAUUCAUCCACCCAUCGUCAUGAUUCAUCUCAUUGAUCAUCCUCCUUCGCAUUCGAGGUAUAGAGAAAAUCCUUGGCGAGAGAAACGAUCCAUCUCUCGUUAUACUAUUAUUAAUCGAUCGAAUAAACAUCGCUCGCCCCAAGGGGGAGAUCUUUUCCGAUCCGGACACCCUCUCAUCGCUCGAGAAAUAAUUUUCAUUAACCAGGGAAACGGGAAUUGCAUCCACGAAUUUUAAUUAUCUCGUUGUGGACUCCGCGAGCGCCCUUGCAUGUAUUUUUCUGUUUUUUCGAUUUGCAUUAAAAAAAACGUCGCUGCGAGCGAUAAAUAAAUUUCUCGAAAUUGUCUUGGAAUUAAAAUGAUCCGUCUUUUUUUUAAGCCAACAGACGAGAGAUAAUUUUUUAAACAUUCAGCAAAUUUCAUCAAUUGCUUCUGCAAUGGCUUUAGCAAGGGGAUGCAAGCGGCCCUCGUGGCGUCGGCAACACGAUACGAAAAAGAGGGUAGGUAAAGACAUUGCGUAGUGCGAGACGAGCGGGAGAUACGAUACAGCUUUGCGCGGAGACGGACGUGCACGCACGCAUUCACGCACGUCGCAAGUGCAUGCGUGAGUGCGAGCGAGAUGCAAAGAGAGCGCGGGAUGGAGGAGCAGCGUCGCGGGAGAACAGCAAAAGCAACUCUAGCUCACCGUAGGCCUAACUAAGAAAAAAUGAAAAGUAUUUAUGUACUGUCUAAACUAACUAACUUAAAAAUAUGCGGACGAGAAAAGAGCAGGAGAAACAGUGAGAGAGAAAGAGAGAAAGCCAGAGAGGAGAUAAUUGUGCAAAUAGAAAAGUGAGCGUGUGAGAGAACGAAUGAGUGAACGAGCGUGCGAAAGGGAGCAAGACAGAGAGAAUGAGAUAGAAGAUAUUUAAAAUACUCGAGAAAUUACUCCGAGACGAGCCACAACGAUCCACAAAACUGAUAAUUACUCUGUAACAAAAAAACGGUGGAAUAAGGGAGAAUCGGAUUAGAGACGGAUUAGAGCGAAUGAGGCGAGCGCGGAAUAAAGCAGGGGUUGAAAGGGACGAAAAUAAGGAUGGGCCGAGGGGCAGAGAAGAGAAUGAGAAAGAAAAAGAUAAUCUAUAAUCUUCUGUACAUGUUUUGAUUAUAUUCUAAUUAUUAAUUAUCAUAACUUAUAAUAACUAUUAAUUAAUUAAAUUAAUUGAUAUCUAUGAAACUAUAUUUAAACGACAAAAAAAACGUGGUAGCUAGUCUGUCAAUGGGUGUAUAAAUAUUUAAUUACGAUAACUCUAUAGUGAUACUACAAAGAAAAAAACAGAGAACAAAGAUAACUUACGAGCGAAGAUGCGAGAACGAGAGAAAGAGAGAGAGAGUGCGAAAGCGAGAAAGAAUCUAGAGAACGAUUGUCAGGGUGUCAUGAAAAGGAAGCAAACGCGAGAAGAAUGAAAGGGGCAUGAAAGAGACGACGCGAGAAUGACGCACACAUGCAUCCUCACGAACACACACGUACAUACAUCCUCAUGCAUACAUACUCACACACACAGACACAAGGAUUAUACACAGUAUAAAGAUAUAAAUGUAAUUAAAAUUAAAAACUAAACGGGAAGAAAGGAAAAACAACGGAAAGUCGAGCGCGCGGACGUAAGCACGAACAAUUUCGAGAUAAACGAAGACAAACGGUUUUCUAACGGGUGUCCCCUGAAGAUUUUCGUUGUGCGUUCGACAAUGCGUUUUACCAGCGUAUCGAGGGCAGGGGGAGGAGAAGAGUGAAGGAGGGUGGGAAGGGGAGAUCUUCCGGUUUAUAAUCUUCUACUUGAGAGCAGGUCCGGGUCCUCCUCGUGGCCGGGGGGCGCGACACGCAUCUUCCCGAUUUUUCACACACGGUCCCCGCGGAUAGAUCGGUCAUCACCGCGCGUACCCCUCGACGAGGGCCCUAAUUUCUUUCGCAGAGAUCCUAAUUUCGCGAAUCAGGCUGUAGUAGGAAUGGCGUGUGCGUGCUUCGCGUUUCCCAUCUUGAUGAUCGCGAAGGGAAAGCCCGCACACGCACACGCGACAACGCAGCUUAUUACGUUGAUGAUAUCGGUUCUGAAUUUUCAGCAUUUCGAUUGCCACGGCUUAAUCGCGCGACCGAGAGUCGUUCUGUUCUUUCCUGAAUCGCGAUGGCGCCGAGAGACCCUCUCGCUCAUCGAUAAGACUGUUCACCGAAUCUCGCAACGACCGACGUGCGUAAUUCACGUUUCUAAACUUAAGCUACUCGAUAAAGCACUCGUGCGACUAAAGGGGGUGGGAUUAUUACCUGUGAAGUGCACGCACACACGCGUGGCAAGGAGUGAAGAAGCAUUUAACGUCGAUUCGAGCUUCUCGAGGCUGGAGUUCGUCGAGGGGACAGCUGGAGAACGGAGUUCCGCUUGGCUUUCGUCCCACACGUGAAUCGCUAUCGGUUCCGUGAUGGACUCUCGUACAUUUUUUGGGGGGGCAACUUCCUUUUUCAGCUGUCCGCAAUUUUUUUUUAUUUCGGACAAAACACGAAAGCACCCAUUGCUACACGUUCUAGAUGAUUGAAGCUACGCUCGAUAGCUCUACCGCUCUAGUCACCUAGACUGGACUGAUCGAGAACCCAGAUUUCUACGUCCGGGUCAGCUGUUUCUAGAUGACUCGGACCGCAUGUAAUCGCGGGGUAUGAGACUACUGGAAACAGUUUGGCGUUAACGCGAGAAUGUAACAGAGAUAAGCCAAUAUCAUAAAGAUGAUCUUCCUUCCGAGCGUUCUCACGAGCACCUCGAGGAAGCUCGGCAGUGAUCCUUUGCUCCCUGUUUCGGCGUAUCGUUUAACGUCACGCAUACACAUGUGAGACUGUCGAAAUUUGGUAUAACCAGGCGAUAAAAUAAAAUACGCAAUCACGUUUGUCGUUAAACGCUCGCCGAACAUACGGAUCUUUAUCUUCGAAACGUACGCGUAGAAAAGUUGUCGUCGCUUGGAUUCCCGAAUGCAUAGUUCCGAAGGAACGUUGCAACUGCGUGUAACUGCGUAAGAAAAGAGGAAAAAUAAUAAAAGAGAGAAACAUAAUCAUGCGAUUACUACGAGGUAACACUACGAAAAUUAGAAUUCAUUAAUACGUGAAGGGGUAAGGGAUGAGAUGAGAGGGACGAGGGGUUGGACUGUAGAAUUUUUCUACAGACAUACAUUUGCGAGGUGCUUGUGUAGAAGUAAGAUUUAGAGGCCAAUGUCGAUCGUUCAAUCGAAACAUUCCAUCCGAAUCCUGAGGGUUCUUGCGCGACACCGAAGACUUCCUUCUCUCGUCUACAAUCUCAGAUUCCGCUUCUCCUCUUUUUGUUCAGUUACUCUCUGGGUCACCCCAAAGGGGGUGAAGCCGAAACUGCGAAAUUGUAACUCGAUGCGACUUGAUUUUCAGUGUUUCCCAUGUGUGCGCGAGUGCACCUUCACGUUACGUUCGGAAAAGUUUGGCGAUUAUUUCCAACUGAAUUGUCGCAUAUAUAUAUAUACGUAUAUAUACAUGAUUUGCAGACGGAUACAAUAUUGAAUCGAGAAACAGAGACGAGAUGAUCAUAUACAUUCCCGCACAUUCCAUGGCGUGGACCCUCUACGUACAAAAAAA